RNAcentral lists this ribosomal RNA (255 nucleotides) under uncultured archaeon. Its description in RNAcentral is "partial 16S ribosomal RNA". It matches the Rfam family "Bacterial small subunit ribosomal RNA", at positions 521 to 776 of the family's 1533-position model. The record is from RNAcentral.
UAAUACGUAGGGUGCAAGCGUUGUCCGGAAUUACUGGGCGUAAAGGGUUUGUAGGCGGUUUUUUAAGUCAGAUGUUAAAGCUCACGGCUCAACCGUGGGAUGCAUUUGAAACUGGAGAACUUGAGUCAAGGAGAGGAAAGUGGAAUUCCUAGUGUAGCGGUGAAAUGCGUAGAUAUUAGGAGGAAUACCAGUGGCGAAGGCGACUUUCUGGACUUGUACUGACGCUGAGAAACGAAAGCAUGGGUAGCAAACAGG